Molecule: small nuclear RNA, 196 nt
Filed under: Olea europaea subsp. europaea
Lineage: Eukaryota; Viridiplantae; Streptophyta; Magnoliopsida; Lamiales; Oleaceae
Description: U2 spliceosomal RNA
Rfam family: U2 spliceosomal RNA
About the family: U2 is a small nuclear RNA (snRNA) component of the spliceosome (involved in pre-mRNA splicing).
Source: Rfam by way of RNAcentral
AUACCUUUCUCGGCCUUUUGGCUAAGAUCAAGUGUAGUAUCUGUUCUUAUCAGUUUAAUAUCUGAUAUGUGGGCCAUUGGCUCACACGAUAUUAAAUUAAUUAUUUAAGGGGGAGAGUCCAACACAAUAGCUUGCUAUUGGGGCUCUCGAGUGUUGUCUUGGUGUUGCACUACUGCCUGGACCUGGCACACCCCAC